CCAGCCAAAUGGAGAGGAAGCAGGAUGGACUGUACAGAGGAACAAGCACUUUUCAUUUUCAAGAUUUGGUAACGGAGUCUUCACUGGACAUGUAAUAUUUCUUCACUGGACAGCUCUCUCCUCACAAUGACCUUUCCUUCUACUUUAGCUCAAGAAUGAAUCCACACUCAUUCAAAACACAAAGAAUAUAUGUAGUCUAUCCUUAAUUUCAUCAUCGAGUAUCUAUUAAAAAAUUACCUUUAAAUCAAAUUUUUGAGUUAAAAUCAUUUUUCCUUUGACAUAGAGAAAAUACACCUUUAUUCUCAAACAUGGUUUCAGAAAUUAGACAAAUUAAAACAUGACAUCAUUAAACUUUACUAAUGAGAUUAAUAUGUACAUUACCCAAAAUACAUCCUAGUCAAAUCUCAAACCUAAUUUUAAAAAAUGAAAAUCUUUACAUUUUCAAAUAUGACUGAAUAAUCAAGGCAAAAAUAAAUUUCACCCAGAAGUAGGCUUAAAUAAUAAGCAUGUGAGUUGAACAGAAAGACAGGACAACUCUGGCUGUACCUGUGAGAUAUUGCAGGCUUGUGACCGUCUUUUAAGCCAGGUAUAUCCUCAUGUAAAUAUGCCAAUCCUCUAGCCAUGGUUUCUGCGAUAUGACAGAGUUCAUUCCAAGAGACCACAUUAGCCUUGAGGAAGUCUGACAGUGAACCCUAAAGAAAAGAGCGAGACACCCGUAAGUUCUUGAUGCAAGUUUUACACAGAUGGAAACUUUGCUUUGGAUAUGGAGGCAAUGCAUUCCUUUCAGUACAUAAUCAAUCAAGCACUAUAGAGUUUCCUUCCAAUUCACAUUACUGAACAUUCAACCCCAAAAGACUGAUUUUUAAAAGCUAAUUACCAAAAUAAGUUAAUUUCCCUAACUUUAGAAAGUUUAAAAAAAAAAAAAAACAGACUACAAAA
Peromyscus maniculatus bairdii (prairie deer mouse) is the source of this 939-nucleotide non-coding RNA. NCBI's taxonomy places the organism in Eukaryota, Metazoa, Chordata, Mammalia, Rodentia, Cricetidae. The record is from RefSeq and is a predicted model, not a curated record.